RNAcentral lists this transfer RNA (73 nucleotides) under Fukomys damarensis (Damara mole-rat). It matches the Rfam family "tRNA". Rfam says of the family: Transfer RNA (tRNA) molecules are approximately 80 nucleotides in length. Their secondary structure includes four short double-helical elements and three loops (D, anti-codon, and T loops). Further hydrogen bonds mediate the characteristic L-shaped molecular structure. tRNAs have two regions of fundamental functional importance: the anti-codon, which is responsible for specific mRNA codon recognition, and the 3' end, to which the tRNAs corresponding amino acid is attached (by aminoacyl-tRNA synthetases). tRNAs cope with the degeneracy of the genetic code in two manners: having more than one tRNA (with a specific anti-codon) for a particular amino acid; and 'wobble' base-pairing, i.e. permitting non-standard base-pairing at the 3rd anti-codon position. The record is from Rfam by way of RNAcentral. Lineage: Eukaryota; Metazoa; Chordata; Mammalia; Rodentia; Bathyergidae.
UGGGAUUUAGCUCAGUGGUUCAGUGGUCUGCCUUGGAAGCACAAGGACCCGAGUUCAAUCCCCGGUAUCCAAA